UCAGUGAGGCGUGGGACGCCAAGAGAAUCCAGCGCCCAGAGACAGAUCCAUGGGCCGCCUGUAUUGCAAAGAAGGCUAGCGGUCCGGACUUCCCCCGCUGAGAGCCGAUAGGCCCCCGUGACAAUUGCACCUUCACAGCAAUGACCUUGGGUGCCGCUGGCCAGGCUUUGGGUGUACAGAACGUUCAAGCAAGAGAUGGGGUAUGUAGGACAGAAAAUAGACAUCCACCAAAAGGCUUCACCUACUUGGCCUUCAAGAUGAUCUUUCAGUGAUAUUUACGAAAAAAGACACCCAACAUCUUAUCCUAACUGGGUGUCAAGCUCUACAGUCUGGGAACCUCAGAUAAGAACCCAACACAACUUUGCCACACACACACCAUCGGAAACCACAGCGCGUCUCUGAGCAACGUUUGCACGGAUAGAAGACUAAAAGCUCAUUAGAAUCUCCCGGCAGAAUAAUUAUUUCCAUGUUAUUGCGUGUGAUUAUUGAAUGGGAGUCCAUAGAGCAGACCUACAAGGAUUCACUUCUAUCAGCAAAGACACGUUUUCUCCUCCACAAUAAAUGGGCUUGUUUGUCAACUAUAACACACUGGGCACGAGGGACUAUAAUUUAUCCGCCUUUUACCCCAAUGGAGCAUCCGAGUGUUGGAGAGCUGAUUGGUGCCAUUUUCCCUGUGCUCCCAGGCAGGGCAGUCCUAAGAGUCUGAGUACCCCAGGGUAGAGCCCUGCAGGGUGU
This is a long non-coding RNA of Xenopus laevis (African clawed frog), 735 nucleotides long. RefSeq lists it as uncharacterized. The transcript is spliced from 3 exons. NCBI's taxonomy places the organism in Eukaryota, Metazoa, Chordata, Amphibia, Anura, Pipidae. The record is from RefSeq and is a predicted model, not a curated record.